UACGGGGGGGGCAAGCGUUGUUCGGAAUUACUGGGCGUAAAGGGCGCGUAGGCGGCUCAUCAAGUCGGGCGUGAAAUCUCCGGGCUUAACCUGGAAAAGUCGUUCGAUACUGUUGGGCUAGAGUGUGGAAGAGGCUACUGGAAUUCCGUGUGUAGCGGUGAAAUGCGUAGAUAUACGGAGGAACACCUGCGGCGAAGGCGGCAUCCUGGACCGGCAUUGACGCUGAGGCGCGAAAGCCAGGGGAGCAAACGGG
This 253-nucleotide ribosomal RNA is filed under the name uncultured bacterium. RNAcentral's name for it is "partial 16S ribosomal RNA". It matches the Rfam family "Bacterial small subunit ribosomal RNA", at positions 524 to 776 of the family's 1533-position model. The record is from RNAcentral.